This 468-nucleotide ribosomal RNA is filed under the name uncultured bacterium. RNAcentral describes it as "partial 16S ribosomal RNA". It matches the Rfam family "Bacterial small subunit ribosomal RNA", at positions 28 to 507 of the family's 1533-position model. The record is from RNAcentral.
GACGAACGCUGGCGGCGUGCUUAACACAUGCAAGUCGAACGGAAAGGCCCUGCUUUUGUGGGGUGCUCGAGUGGCGAACGGGUGAGUAACACGUGAGUAACCUGCCCUUGACUUUGGGAUAACUUCAGGAAACUGGGGCUAAUACCGGAUAGGAACUCCUGCUGCAUGGUGGGGGUUGGAAAGUUUCGGCGGUUGGGGAUGGACUCGCGGCUUAUCAGCUUGUUGGUGGGGUAGUGGCUUACCAAGGCUUUGACGGGUAGCCGGCCUGAGAGGGUGGCCGGCCACAUUGGGACUGAGAUACGGCCCAGACUCCUACGGGAGGCAGCAGUGGGGAAUAUUGCACAAUGGGCGGAAGCCUGAUGCAGCAACGCCGCGUGCGGGAUGACGGCCUUCGGGUUGUAAACCGCUUUCGCCUGUGACGAAGCGUGAGUGACGGUAAUGGGUAAAGAAGCACCGGCUAACUACGUG